UACGUAGGGAGCAAGCGUUGUCCGGAAUUACUGGGCGUAAAGAGCGUGUAGGCGGCUCUUUAAGUCAGAUGUGAAAACUUAAGGCUCAACCUUAAGACUGCAUCUGAUACUGGAGAGCUUGAGUGCAGGAGAGGAAAGUGGAAUUCCUAGUGUAGCGGUGAAAUGCGUAGAGAUUAGGAGGAACACCAGUGGCGAAGGCGACUUUCUGGCCUGUAACUGACGCUGAGACGCGAAAGCGUGGGGAG
This 245-nucleotide ribosomal RNA is filed under the name uncultured Eubacteriales bacterium. RNAcentral's name for it is "uncultured Clostridiales bacterium partial 16S ribosomal RNA". It matches the Rfam family "Bacterial small subunit ribosomal RNA", at positions 524 to 768 of the family's 1533-position model. The record is from RNAcentral. Lineage: Bacteria; Bacillati; Bacillota; Clostridia; Eubacteriales.